AUAACCUGUGAAUCAGCCCAGGAUCGAGUAUGAGGAUUGAGACGGGCGAGAAAGGAGGAGAGGAGGCCCUGCCACUGGGAUGGUCCAGCGACUGAGAAGGAGGGCACAGUCCUGAGGAUCGUGAGUCUGUGGGGUGGGAAGAGAGUGGGGGUAGGGGCGAUCGGGCUCAGGCUACAUAGCCCGCUCCCCUCCCCCAGUGCAGCCACGUGGCUGGGAUCUGCCACAACAUCCUGGUCUGCUGCCCCAAGGAGCUGCUGGAACAGAGGGCCGUGCUCGAGCAGGUGCAGCUGGACAGUCCAUUGGGCCUAGAAAUUCACACCACCAGCAAUUGCCAGCACUUUGUGUCCCAAGUGGACACCCAGGUUCCCACUGACUCCCGACUGCAGAUCCAGCCUGGAGACGAGGUUGUCCAGAUCAACGAGCAGGUGGUGGUGGGAUGGCCCCGUAAGAACAUGGUGAGGGAACUGCUGCGGGAGCCAGCCGGACUCAGCUUAGUGCUGAAGAAGAUCCCGAUACCGGAGACCCCCCCACAGACGCCCCCUCAGGUCCUGGACUCCCCGCACCAGAGGAGCCCAUCACUGUCUCUGGCCCCACUGUCUCCCAGGUAACAGGCUCUGUCCAGGUGUGUCUUGGUGGGGAGACCGUGGGCUCAUCUCAU
RNAcentral lists this small RNA (658 nucleotides) under Pan troglodytes (chimpanzee). RNAcentral's name for it is "retained intron". The record is from RNAcentral. Lineage: Eukaryota; Metazoa; Chordata; Mammalia; Primates; Hominidae.